GGGGCUAUAGUUUAAUUGGCUAAAAUUCCUGACUUGCACUCAGGGGAUCAGGGUUCAAGUCCCUGUAGCUCCA
Molecule: transfer RNA, 73 nt
Filed under: Ignavibacteria bacterium
Lineage: Bacteria; Pseudomonadati; Ignavibacteriota; Ignavibacteria
Description: tRNA-Ala
Rfam family: tRNA
About the family: Transfer RNA (tRNA) molecules are approximately 80 nucleotides in length. Their secondary structure includes four short double-helical elements and three loops (D, anti-codon, and T loops).
Source: RNAcentral